RNAcentral lists this ribosomal RNA (443 nucleotides) under uncultured bacterium. RNAcentral describes it as "partial 16S ribosomal RNA". It matches the Rfam family "Bacterial small subunit ribosomal RNA", at positions 28 to 507 of the family's 1533-position model. The record is from RNAcentral.
GAUGAACGCUGGCGGCAUGCCUAACACAUGCAAGUCGAUCGGUAAGGCUCUUCGGAGUACACGAGAGGCGGACGGCUGAGUAACGCGUAGGAACACACCCUGCAGUGAGGGAUAAGACACCGAAAGGUGUUCUAAUACCGCAUACGGUCUUCGGAUUAAAGCAUUUAUGCGCUGAAGGAGUGGCCUGCGUCAUAUUAGAUAGUUGGUGAGGUAAUGGCUCACCAAGUCGAUGAUGUGUAGCUGGUCUGAGAGGAUGAUCAGCCAGACUGGAACUGAGACACGGUACAGAAUCAUACGGGGGGCAGCAGUGAGGAAUAGUGCACAAUGAGCGAAAGCUUGAUGGAGCAAUGCCGCGUGCAGGAUGAAGGCCCUCGGGUUGUAAACUGCUUUUAUAAGAGAGGAUUAUGACGGUAACUUAUGAAUAAGGGACGGCUAACUACGUG